UAUGUCUACCCCAGCCAGAAGUCGGGCACACCGCCUGUCUUACCGACGCUGUAUUAACUGUUCCCUUUACUAGCGUCUAAUUUACGCCGGUAUACAGUUGAGGAGUUGAACGAGCAAAUGACAGUUCUUCUACGAACUUGGACAACGCCUACACCUGUAAGUUAUCGUGUGCAUAAACAAUAAUAAUUAUUGUGGACAAUAUAAAUAUAGUGGUUAAAUGCAUUAUGCAAACUCAAAAUAACAUUUGAUUAGAGUAAACUUAGCACUGUAAACUUAGUUCUUUAUGAGAGUUUAUGUAUUUACAAGUUUAAGCAGUUAUAAAUAUAGAAUAGUAUAGAAUAUAAUCUUUUCCAGGUAACGUCAGAUGAUAUCCUAUGUAUUGAAUGUUAUUUGCUGUUGCAAGAAAGGAUAUUGUCAAAUAUAACUGGAUCCCACGAGGAUAUAUCACCUGCAUAUGGUCACUUAAAUGUUUGUUAUGGAUGUGGUAUCUCUGUUGCAAGUCGGAGAACCCACAGAGUUGAGUUAGACUGUCCACAACGUAGCAUGAUUUUAAGAUGGACUUUAGCACAUCUGGUUCCACAUUUACAAAAAGUGUGCAUUCCUUGCUGGUUAGCAGCAACUCGGGAGACGAGACGUUUGGAGGUUCAAGAUUCAAACAGACCUGCAAGGGUCAUGGAUGCAGCUCUAUCUUCAUUAGAAGACCCCGAGAUACCUGAACCACCUCCAAUGCCAGCUCCAACAUCUCAACCACAACAAGCAUUACGAGUUCAAUCUAAGAUUAACUCACAAAAGUAUAAACGAGUUGCUGCAGCUUCUCGUCACUGUAUGUUUGUAGGCUGUGAUAAUGAUGAACGUCUUUAGUACCUAUGACUAUAAAGGAACUGUUGUUAUUGCAGUACAAUAUAUAUAUACCUUUAAAUGCUAGAAUCUGUCAUCACCAUUUAUAUAGCAAUCAGUGGGAUGAACUGACUACCAACCUAAAUGACUUUACUAGCUUUCAAGUUGAUGAUAUAUUUUCCAUACUGGAAAGAGCUUCUCAAAGAAGUUUAGAUUUUAAUAAUAUUGCAGCAAUGGAUGCACAUUUACGCCAUUAUUGGCUGGGACUUACAGAGAUGCAGUUUAAUGAAAUAUUAAAUAGCCUUCCUACUUUACAUAAUAAGGUUAGAAAUCCUAGCCUUGCAUUAAGCACAUUUCUUGUUAAACUUAGGACAGGGGACAGCAACCAAAGACUGGCAACUCUUUUUCAAUUGCCACGAUCUACAUUAGAAAAAAAAAUGAACAUUGUUAGGGAAUGUUUAAAAGAACAUUUUGUACCAAUGCAUUUGGGAGUUAAUCACACUAAUAUACAAAAUGUGGCCUCACGUAACAGGACUAUUCCUGAAGGUCUAUUCGGAGACAGUAGCAUGGCUCCAGAUUCUAAACCUGCUAUUGUCAUAUGUGAUGGUACAUAUGUUUAUGUACAGAGUAGUAGUAACUACAAAUAUCAGAAACAGACAUAUAGUCUACACAAAUAUAAUAAUUUGGUUAAACCCUUUUUAAUCACAUGUUGUGAUGGAUAUAUUUUAGAGUGCAUUGGACCAUAUGAAGCAACAAAAAAUGACUCGACAAUCAUGAGUGAUCUAUUUCGUAAUGAAAGUGGUCCAAUGCGCUCAUUUUUUAGACAGGGGGAUGUCUUUAUAUUGGAUAGGGGAUUUAGAGACGUGAUCCCUGAACUCCAAAGCUAUAAUUAUAAAACAUACAUGCCUGAGUCAUUAUUGGAAGGUGAAUUUCAAUUGACCACUGACCAAGCAAACAAGUCUAGGUGUGUGACUAUGUGUAGAUGGGUAGUUGAAAUUGUAAAUGGUCGCAUCAAAAGAGACUACAAACUGUUUCGACAAGAAUAUUUUAACAGAGCAUCAACACACCUUAUGGAUGAUUUUAAAAUUGUUUGUGCCCUUUUGAAUAAAUUCCACCCAACAAUUGAAGAUAGACCUGACGCUGCAGAGUAUGUGCAAAUUGCUCAGGCGAGAUUAAACAGUAGUAAUUAUUUGGGGGAAUUUAUUCGAAGGGAUAACAUCAAUAGGAGACGUACGGUUUUCCAAAACAUAGACAGCAAUGCUCCCCAUUUAGAUCAUUUUCCAAGAUUAACUUUAGAUGAUUUAAGAAGAUUUGCAUUGGGAUCUUACCAAUUAAAACAGGCUAGAUCCUAUUAUGGGGAGCACAUAAGAAGUAAUGGUACUUAUAAUGUUGAAGUAAGCAAUGAUGUCUUGGAAGAGGAUUUGCCCUUAAUAUUGGGUCAAAAUAAUUAUUUAAUUAGGACUAGAAUUAAGUCCCGCCAUGUGAGCCAUAAAACAUAUUACUCUUAUUUGUUGAUAAGUAGAGAUGAAGAUCGGGCAAAUUCUUUAGAAAGUAUCAUUGCUUACUAUUGUAACUGUCUAGUGGGUAACCGUACGGUAGGGUGUUGUGCUCAUACUAUGACAGUAUUGUGGUAUUUAAGCUGGGGCCGCUUCAACAAUGUGAGUGCUCCAGCUCAAUCUUUGGACGAAAUAUUUUAUGAAGAAUAAAUAGUUUAUUCAUG
Long non-coding RNA from Helicoverpa armigera (cotton bollworm), 2557 nucleotides. RefSeq lists it as uncharacterized. NCBI's taxonomy places the organism in Eukaryota, Metazoa, Arthropoda, Insecta, Lepidoptera, Noctuidae. The transcript is spliced from 2 exons. The record is from RefSeq and is a predicted model, not a curated record.